UUGGAGGGACCCUACGAACCAGGAGUCAGGCGAGCCGAUCUGGGGCUGCAGGUGUUACCUCUGAUCUAGGCCGGGGGCUUCAGGGAUCCGAGCCGAGGGAGAAAGCCUUGGGGGCUUCAUCACACUUAUUUGGCUCGCGGGCUUGGGGCCAUCGGGUGGUCCUGUGUCAUCCCCAUUCCUCCUCUGCGAUUCCCCCGUCGCCCCCAAACAGCCCUGGGACUCCCCUGUCUUGCUCCUCGAGACCCUCCCCCAUCACCGUCCUCUGGGCACCCCAUCCUAUGACCCAGUCUCAGGCAUCUUCCGAAAUGCUCGAUGAUAGCCGCCCUCGGGCAUCUCCGCUGCGUCUGUUUGUAGCGCGCCUGGUGAUUCGGCUGCACCCCCGCACAGGAUGUUCCGCUGGGAGCGCUCCAUUCCCCUGCGAGGCUCGGCCGCCGCCCUGUGCAACAACCUCAGUGUGCUGCAGCUGCCGGCUCGCAACCUCACGUAUUUUGGCGUGGUUCAUGGACCAAGCGCCCAGCUUCUCAGCGCUGCUCCUGAGGGUGUGCCCUUGGCCCAGCGCCAGCUCCACGCUAAGGAGGGUGCUGGAGUGAGUCCCCCACUUAUCACUCAGGUGAGGCAUGGAGUUGGGAGUGAUGUUGCUGAACCCAGUCCUACCCCCAGCCUUUUCUCUCCAAACCUUCAGGAGCAGGCAUGUCCUAACCUCAGAAUCUCCCCAGGCAUGUCCUAACCUCAGAAUCUCCCCUCUCCUGCCGGGCGCGGUGGCUCACGCCUGUAAUCCCAACACUUUGGGAGGCUGAGACGGGCACUUGAGGCCAGGAGUUCGAGACCAGCCUGGCCAACAUGGUGAAACCUCUUCUCUACUAAGAAUACAAAAAAAAAAUAACCGGGUGUGGUGGCGUGCACCUGUAAUCCCAGCUACUUGGGUGGCUGAGGCAGGAGAAUCGCUUGAACCCAGGAGGCUGAGGUUGCAGUGAGCCGAGAUGGCGCCACCGCACUCCAGCCUGGGCCACAGAGCAAGACUCCAUCCCAAAAAAAAAAAAAACUCAUCUUCCCUGCUUUGAUUUUCUCCCUACACUGAUGCACCUCCCUCCAGGUCCACUGGUGUGUCCUCCCCUUCCGAGUGCUGCUGGUACUCACCUCACAUCGAGGAAUACAGAUGUACGAGUCCAAUGGCUACACCAUGGUCUACUGGCAUGCACUGGACUCUGGAGAUGCCUCCCCAGGUACCUGCAGGACCAAGUGGGGUGGGGGCAGGGAGUGUUUGCUAGGGCUGCAGGAGGGGAUAUUUCUGAUCAUUCUCCCCUUUCAUAUUCAGUACAGGCUGUGUUUGCCCGGGGAAUUGCUGCCAGUGGCCACUUCAUCUGUGUGGGUGAGGGAGCCAAGUGCAGGGCAUGGAGGGGUGCUGGGGCAUGUGGGCUGUGGCCAGGAGGAUAAUGAGGGCCUGAGGAAAUUGUGGAAAGUUAGAGGGAAGGGUGGAAGUGGAGUGGAAUCAGAGACUCCAGUAAACCAUGGAAGGGUUCAGAGGGUCAGGGUGGGAUAAGACGAGGCUAGUGAAUGAAGGGGCAUGGCCGUUGGAGCAGUGAGAGGGGGUUUUGUUACUAAGGUUUCUGGGAUGGAGUAAGUGUUGAGUAUGGUGGCUGGAGACCCAGGAGGGUCAGGAAGUCAUCACUGGAGUACUGGUUCUGGAUACAGGAACGUGGUCAGGCCGGGUGCUGGUGUUUGACAUCCCAGCAAAGGGUCCCAACAUUGUACUGAGCGAGGAGCUGGCUGGGCACCAGAUGCCAAUCACAGACAUUGCCACCGAGCCUGCCCAGGGACAGGAUUGUGUGGCUGACAUGGUGACGGCAGAUGACUCAGGCUUGCUGUGUAUCUGGCGGUCAGGGCCAGAAUUCACAUUAUUGACCCGCAUUCCAGGAUUUGGAGUUCCGUGCCCCUCUGUGCAGCUGUGGCAGGGGAUCAUAGCAGCAGGCUAUGGGAACGGACAAGUGCAUCUGUAUGAGGCCACUACAGGAAAUCUACAUGUCCAGAUCAAUGCCCAUGCCCGGGCCAUCUGCGCCCUGGACCUGGCUUCUGAGGUGGGCAAGCUACUCUCUGCAGGUGAGGACACCUUUGUGCAUAUCUGGAAGCUGAGCAGAAACCCAGAGAGUGGCUACAUUGAGGUAUGUGUCAUGGGGUGGGUGGAAUGGGGGGGCCCAAGCAUGGGGCAGCAGGCCCUGACGAGCCCUCUGCUCCCCCAGGUGGAACACUGUCAUGGUGAGUGUGUCUCCGACACCCAGCUGUGUGGUGCUCGAUUUUGUGAUUCCUCAGGCAACUCCUUUGCUGUGACUGGCUAUGACCUUGCGGAGAUCCGGAGAUUCAGCAGUGUGUGAGAAGAGCAGCCUUCCUUUGUCCCUGUGGUAUUCAUAAAGUACCCGCUCCACCCA
This 2423-nucleotide small RNA is filed under the name Pan troglodytes (chimpanzee). RNAcentral's name for it is "retained intron". The record is from RNAcentral. Lineage: Eukaryota; Metazoa; Chordata; Mammalia; Primates; Hominidae.